GUAAUGUGUCUUUUCCUACGGGACAGAGGAGACAGGUGGUGCAUGGUUGUCGUCAGCUCGUGUCGUGAGAUGUUGGGUUAAGUCCCGCAACGAGCGCAACCCCUGCCUUCAGUAGCCAGCACAUAAAGGUGGGCACUCUGGAGGGACAGCCGAGGAUAACUCGGAGGAAGGCGGGGAUGACGUCAAAUCAUCAUGCCCCUUAUGGCCAGGGCUACACACGUGCUACAAUGGCGCAAACAAAGGGAAGCAGAGCUGUGAGGCCGAGCAAAUCCCAAAAACAGCGUCCCAGUUCGGAUUGUAGUCUGCAACUCGACUACAUGAAGCCGGAAUCGCUAGUAAUCGCGAAUCAGAAUGUCGCGGUGAAUACGUUCCCGGGUCUUGUACACACCGCCCGUCACACCAUGGGAGCCGGAAAUGCCCGAAGUCAGUGGCCCAACCGCAAGGAGGGAGCUGCCGAAGGUGGAGCUGGUGACUGGGGUGAAGUCGUAACAAGGUAGCCGUAUCGGAAGGUGCGGC
RNAcentral lists this ribosomal RNA (516 nucleotides) under uncultured bacterium. RNAcentral's name for it is "bacterial SSU rRNA". It matches the Rfam family "Bacterial small subunit ribosomal RNA", at positions 1003 to 1518 of the family's 1533-position model. The record is from RNAcentral.